Echinops telfairi (small Madagascar hedgehog) is the source of this 164-nucleotide small nuclear RNA. Its record names the gene U1. It matches the Rfam family "U1 spliceosomal RNA". From Rfam's summary of the family: U1 is a small nuclear RNA (snRNA) component of the spliceosome (involved in pre-mRNA splicing). Its 5' end forms complementary base pairs with the 5' splice junction, thus defining the 5' donor site of an intron. There are significant differences in sequence and secondary structure between metazoan and yeast U1 snRNAs, the latter being much longer (568 nucleotides as compared to 164 nucleotides in human). The record is from Ensembl. Lineage: Eukaryota; Metazoa; Chordata; Mammalia; Afrosoricida; Tenrecidae.
AUACUUACCUGGCAGGGGAUAGACCAUUAUCCCGAAGGUGGUUUUCCCAGGGUCAGACCUAUCCAUUGUACUCCGGAUGUGCUGACCCCUGCGAAAUCCCGAAUUGUGGGAAACUCGACUGCAUCAUUUGUGGUCGUGGGAGACUGCAUUAGUGCUUUCACCUA